RNAcentral lists this ribosomal RNA (928 nucleotides) under uncultured bacterium. RNAcentral's name for it is "bacterial SSU rRNA". It matches the Rfam family "Bacterial small subunit ribosomal RNA", at positions 8 to 932 of the family's 1533-position model. The record is from RNAcentral.
AGAGUUUGAUCCUGGCUCAGAUUGAACGCUGGCGGUAUGCUUAACACAUGCAAGUCGAACGGUAACGGUCCUUCGGGAGCCGACGAGUGGCGGACGGGUGAGUAACGCGUAGGAAUCUGCCUGGUAGUGGGGGACAACUCGGAGAAAUCCGAGCUAAUACCGCAUACGCCCUGAGGGGGAAAGCGGGGGAUCUUCGGACCUCGCGCUAUCAGAUGAGCCUGCGCUGGAUUAGCUAGUUGGUGGGGUAAGGGCCUACCAAGGCGACGAUCCAUAGCUGGUCUGAGAGGACGAUCAGCCACACUGGGACUGAGACACGGCCCAGACUCCUACGGGAGGCAGCAGUGGGGAAUAUUGGACAAUGGGCGCAAGCCUGAUCCAGCAAUACCGCGUGUGUGAAGAAGGCCUGAGGGUUGUAAAGCACUUUCAAUAGGGAGGAAAAAGCGUUGGUUAAUAGCCGAUGCCUUGACAUUACCUAUAGAAGAAGCACCGGCUAACUCCGUGCCAGCAGCCGCGGUAAUACGGAGGGUGCGAGCGUUAAUCGGAAUUACUGGGCGUAAAGCGUGCGUAGGCGGUUAUUUAAGUCAGAUGUGGAAGCCCCGGGCUUAACCUGGGAACGGCAUUUGAUACUGGGUAACUUGAGUUUAGGAGAGGAGAGUGGAAUUUCCGGUGUAGCGGUGAAAUGCGUAGAGAUCGGAAGGAACACCAGUGGCGAAGGCGGCUCUCUGGCCUAAAACUGACGCUGAGGUACGAAAGCGUGGGUAGCAAACAGGAUUAGAUACCCUGGUAGUCCACGCCGUAAACGAUGUCAACUAGCCGUUGGGUCUUUAUUAAGACUUAGUGGUGCAGCUAACGCAUUAAGUUGACCGCCUGGGGAGUACGGGCCGCAAGGUUAAAACUCAAAUGAAUUGACGGGGGCCCGCACAAGCGG